GAUGAACGCUGGCGGCGUGCCUAAUACAUGCAAGUCGAGCGAACAGACGAGGAGCUUGCUCCUUUGACGUUAGCGGCGGACGGGUGAGUAACACGUGGGUAACCUACCUAUAAGACUGGGAUAACUUCGGGAAACCGGAGCUAAUACCGGAUAAUAUUUCGAACCGCAUGGUUCGAUAGUGAAAGAUAGCUUUGCUAUCACUUAUAGAUGGACCUGCGCCGUAUUAGCUAGUUGGUAAGGUAACGGCUUACCAAGGCAACGAUACGUAGCCGACCUGAGAGGGUGAUCGGCCACACUGGAACUGAGACACGGUCCAGACUCCUACGGGAGGCAGCAGUAGGGAAUCUUCCGCAAUGGGCGAAAGCCUGACGGAGCAACGCCGCGUGAGUGAUGAAGGUCUUCGGAUCGUAAAACUCUGUUAUUAGGGAAGAACAAACGUGUAAGUAACUGUGCACGUCUUGACGGUACCUAAUCAGAAAGCCACGGCUAACUACG
RNAcentral lists this ribosomal RNA (495 nucleotides) under uncultured bacterium. Its description in RNAcentral is "partial 16S ribosomal RNA". It matches the Rfam family "Bacterial small subunit ribosomal RNA", at positions 28 to 505 of the family's 1533-position model. The record is from RNAcentral.